RNAcentral lists this ribosomal RNA (431 nucleotides) under uncultured Hyphomicrobiaceae bacterium. RNAcentral's name for it is "bacterial SSU rRNA". It matches the Rfam family "Bacterial small subunit ribosomal RNA", at positions 29 to 505 of the family's 1533-position model. The record is from RNAcentral. Lineage: Bacteria; Pseudomonadati; Pseudomonadota; Alphaproteobacteria; Hyphomicrobiales; Hyphomicrobiaceae.
AACGAACGCUGGCGGCAGGCCUAACACAUGCAAGUCGAACGCUCUCUUCGGAGGGAGUGGCAGACGGGUGAGUAACGCGUGGGAACCUACCUAGAGGUACGGAAUAACUCGAGGAAACUCGUGCUAAUACCGUAUACGCCCUUCGGGGGAAAGAUUUAUCGCCUUUAGAUGGGCCCGCGUUGGAUUAGCUAGUUGGUGAGGUAAUGGCUCACCAAGGCAACGAUCCAUAGCUGGUCUGAGAGGAUGAUCAGCCACACUGGGACUGAGACACGGCCCAGACUCCUACGGGAGGCAGCAGUGGGGAAUAUUCGGCAAUGGGCGCAAGCCUGACCGAGCCAUGCCGCGUGAGUGACGAAGGCCUUAGGGUUGUAAAGCUCUUUUGGCGGGGAAGAUAAUGACUGUACCCGCAGAAUAAGUCCCGGCUAACUUCG